This 254-nucleotide ribosomal RNA is filed under the name uncultured bacterium. RNAcentral's name for it is "partial 16S ribosomal RNA". It matches the Rfam family "Bacterial small subunit ribosomal RNA", at positions 524 to 776 of the family's 1533-position model. The record is from RNAcentral.
CACGUAGGGACCAAGCGUUGUCCGGAUUUAUUGGGCGUAAAGCGCUCGUAGGCGGUUCGGCAAGUCGGGUGUGAAAUCUCCGGGCUCAACUCGGAGGGGUCACCCGAUACUGCUGUGACUUGAGUUCGGUAGGGGAGCACGGAAUUCCUGGUGUAGCGGUGAAAUGCGCAGAUAUCAGGAGGAACACCGGUGGCGAAGGCGGUGCUCUGGGCCGAAACUGACGCUGAGGAGCGAAAGCGUGGGUAGCAAACAGG